AAUAACUAAUUAAUAAUAAUCUAGGAUAAUAUCUUAUAAGCUAUUACAAGCAAGCUCAUAGUUAGUUUGACUGACAAGUAACUAACAAGUUGACUAGGAGACUAGCGGACUCGAAAGCUGAUAAACACAUACUCGUGAGCUCGUGAGCAAGCUGGCAGGCUAGUGAAGCUGAAGGUGACUAACUAGUAUAAUAGAAAAUGGAUGAAGACUCAUACAUGAGUUAAACAUAAAUAGACCAUUAGCCUGUUGUAUCAGGUACAUAAUUCCUUUGAUUCGAUCUUGAGUAAAUAGACCUUGUUGACUAUCACAAAUCACCAUAUUCCUUAUUCUUGGUGCUUUCUUAUUAAACAUGCACAUUAUUGGUAGAAUUAACAUUUUGAACCUGAAAUUAGGUGGAAACCCGUGCUUUUUAUAACAAAUGCCAACAAUGUGACCAAGUUUUCCACGAUGAGUGCAGGUCUUGGAAUUUCUCUUUCUUUUCCAAAAACCUUUCUUUGUGUCAACAACAUUAACAUAAGUUUGAGAUUAUGUGCUUUCAUUAGAUCCUCCAUUAUGUCUUUUUUGUUGAAGAACUAAAGAAAUGACUCUAUUGAGGUUGUGGAGACACAAUUACAUGGUGGUAUAGGGUGAAAGUUAUCCAAUUCUUCCUACAAAACAGUUAAGGCUUUGUUGUCACUAUCUUUAAAAGCAAAACCAUGAAUUGAUUGUGAAACUGAUGACUCAUUCAAGAACCAAAUUGUUGCGUUGCAGCUAGUACUUGUGAGUUGGCUCAAAAUCCCAUGGCAUAGGUAAAGAUCCAUCAAGAAAUUCCAUUUAUUCUUCCCCACCAUUACACUGGUCAUCGAACAAACCCAAGAUUUGUAAUUGGUUCCAUUAAAAAUUGGGGUAAUAGUGACAAAAGAAGGAUCCUCACUUUAAUGAAUGCAAUAUUUAUUGUUGGUGUUUUGUUCGAUGAUACCAUAUUAUGAAGCAAUAUGUAACUAUUUUAUUGUAUAUAC
Cicer arietinum (chickpea) is the source of this 998-nucleotide non-coding RNA. The record is from RefSeq and is a predicted model, not a curated record. Lineage: Eukaryota; Viridiplantae; Streptophyta; Magnoliopsida; Fabales; Fabaceae.